RNAcentral lists this ribosomal RNA (300 nucleotides) under uncultured Prevotella sp. RNAcentral describes it as "partial 16S ribosomal RNA". It matches the Rfam family "Bacterial small subunit ribosomal RNA", at positions 496 to 795 of the family's 1533-position model. The record is from RNAcentral. Lineage: Bacteria; Pseudomonadati; Bacteroidota; Bacteroidia; Bacteroidales; Prevotellaceae.
GGUAACACAGGGCCAACAGCAGCGGUACUACAGGUUGGGCUGGCUGUAAUAGUACUUACUGGGCAUAAAGCGCGCGUAGGUGGGUCAGUAAGAUGUGUGUGCAAUCCCCGGGCUUAACCUGGGAACUUCUUUCAUAACUGCUGAGCUAGAGUACGGUAGAGGGUAGUGGAAUUUCCUGUGUAGCGGUGAAAUGCGUAGAUAUAGGAAGGAACACCAGUGGCGAAGGCGACUACCUGGACUGAUACUGACACUGAGGUGCGAAAGCGUGGGGAGCAAACAGGAUUAGAUACCCUGUUAGUA